CCUUUUCUAGGGCCACUCCCGCGGCAUAUGGAGUUCCCAGGCUAGGGGUCGAAUCGGAGCUGUAGCUGCUGGCCUUCGCCAGAGCCACAGCAAUGCAAGAUCCAAGCCGAGUCUGCAAGCUAUACCACAACUCACGGCAACACUGGAUUGUUAAUCCGGUGAGCAAGGCCAGGGACCGAACCUGCAACCUCAUGGUUCCUAGUUGGAUUCUUUAACCACUGUGCCAUGACGGGAACUCCUCUCAUUCCUUUUUCAGUUGUGACUUGUCUUCAGAUAGUGACUCCCUGGAGGCCUGAGACCUUGAUUUAUUUAAUACAAGGAAUUGGCAAAAGGGUGUGAUGCUAGCCUGCAGGAACUCUGGGUUGUGUUGGUUUGGGCAUUUGCCUAAUGGCCAGAUUUCCUGCUGGACUGUGUCCCUGCUACUGGCAGUUCCUGGGGCAUCAGGGGCUUAGCAAGGGGCAAGUAGAGCUGGUUGACAGAUUAUUGCCUUGCCCUCCUCCUUCCCCAGCCUUGAACAAUGCCUGAGCCUGGGGCUUCAGCGCCUUGAGCACCAGUUAGAGUCAAAGAGAUCAGUUCUAAAGAAAGUAGGAUGAGGUCAGAGAGAGGCUGCUAAGAACAGUCAAAAAUUGAGUUUAUUCCUUGAAGUGGAUCUUAAUUUUUUUUUCUCUCCCAGUUCUCCAAGCUAUUUCAAAAAUAAACUCUAUAGAAGAUAGAAAAUAACCUAAAUAUCCAUUAAUAGGGGACAGAUUAAGUAUAUUCUCUCUUAAGAAGGUAAAUGAUAGAUAAGUGAAGAAUCACCUUUCCUUUUCACUAUUGUAUCAUGACCAUAUAAUUCUCAUUAGAAAUGUAACCUUUGGGGGAGAAAACUAUAAAUGACUAUGUUGCAGAGAUCCCAUGGCAAAUGAAAAAUACACCUUUUAAUAUUUAACAUUGUAUUUAAAAAGAAAAACCAAACUGUUUUAGAUAGAACUAACUGUUCCACUUGUGGUUUAGGAUAAAAUUUCAGCGACAGCAGGUAGAUUCAAAAAGUGCUGUAACUCAAACACUUUAGACAGAAGAGAAGGUAAUGUACUCUAGAAAACCGUGAGAUGACUCAAAAAGUGGCUCUGGGGAAGACAGUGACACUAAUGCAAUAGAGACAUGGGAAAAGUUUGCAUUAAGUCAUGAUGUGAGGUUGGAAAAAAGCCGUAUUUCUACCUUAGUGUGUUAUUUUAUACAGUACGUGAUUUUAAAGAUGUGUGUGCAACUAAACCAAUAUAUAGUUGAAGUUAAAACUCUUGUUUUAGAAGACCAAUGACAUGGCAAAAAGGUCAUGGCAGUGAUAAAUCACUCUAAAAAUUCUUGGUCUAUAAAAACUAUCCAACCGUAUUUGUACUAUCCAUACAGAUACACAUGAAAGAAAAUAAAUGUAUAUUGAUCCAGAAGGAGAGUCACUGAAAAUCAGUGGUUGUAUUUGUAUGUAAUAUUACAGGUGACUUUUUUUUUCUUUAUAUGUUUUCACAGUCUCCAAACUUUACACAAUGGAUAUUCAUUACUUUUACAACAGAAGAGAAUCUUGUUUUAAAAACAGUAGAGAAAACAUUUGCCCAUAGCACCUGCCUCAACUGUGUCCUGUGUUUCCUCCUAAGUAUACUGGUGUGGAGUAGAAAUGAAAUAAUAGCUAAAUUUAUUGAAUGUGAAUCAUGUACCUGGAACUGUACUAAGCAUUUUGUUAAUACAGUGGAUUAUUUUGUGUAAUCACCACCCUAGUCUUCUGAAGUGGGCAUGAAUACCCUGAUCUCAUAGAUGAGGAAAUUAAGGAUCAGAGAGGUUUGGUUCUUUGCCUAAGUCACAUAGCUAGUGAGUGGGAGUGCUGGCAUUUAAACCCAUCAGAUCAACUCUUGUGGCAGAGGCCACGUUCUCAGUCCUAGCUCUUUGCUGUGCUGCCUCCCACCACUCCAGUACACAUCUGGCAGGAUCUCAGAAGUUGUAAUGUGCCAGACCAUGGGAGAAUUUCUAGCCAAGUGUCCUGAGCAUUUCUUCUUAGCUUUACAUUUCAAGGAGCUGGAAAUUUUAAUUGGUUAAGCAGAUUUCUUACCGGUGACUGUCACAUUUGCAUGAGUAAAGGGAUGGGAUGAGCUUGUUGGGAAAAACAUGUUUUUACCCACUUCUUUUUUUUUUUUUUUUUUUUUUUUUGGUCUUUUUAGGGCCGCGCUGGUGGCAUAUGGAAGUUCCCAGGCUAGGUGUCAAAUCAAAACUGCAGCUGCCGGCCUGUACCACAAGCACAGCAACGCCAGAUCCGAGCUGCGUCUGUGACCUACACCACAGCUAAUCCACGUAGCGAGGCCAGGGAUCAAACCUGUGUUCUCAUGGAUACUAGUCAGAUUCAUUUCUGCUGAGCCAUGACGGGAACUCUCCCCACUUCUUUAGGCAGGAAGACUUCUAAAGGAAUGGGGCAGUUGAGGGGUCUGUGAAGUUGUUUAUGGGGCUAUAUACAGGUGGCAAGGAAGAGAUCUAGAUUAUGAGGACUGACUGGACCAGCAGUGAAGCACCAAGAUAGGGAGCUCUAAGGAAUAGGGGCUGCAGAACAGGGAAGCAAAAGGAGGCUGGAAGAGGGGAUAAAGACCAUCUCUGUCCAGUAAAGGAAAGGGAAUUAGCACUUGUUGGCCAUAUACAGUAUGCUGGUGAUUUAUGUUUGCUGUUUCAUUCCAUCCUUCCAACAACCCUAUUUUGUAGGAGUCAGUCUCUCCAUGUGCCAGUUGGAGAAGGAGAGGCUCAGAGAGAUGAACCUGUCCAGGAUUGAAUAGUUAAAUUGUUGAAUAGUUAUUGAGAGGUAAAGCCAAGAGGAGCUCUUGUCUUCCUGCCUCUGAAAUGUCUCCCUUUGUAUCAGUAUUCCAGCAAGAAAUCCUCCCAUGGAGUAAUUGAGAGUUUAACAAAACGGGGCUGCCUACAAAGUUGUGGGCAGGUGAUGGGGUUCAGGACAAGCUACUCUAAAACAUGGUACCUUGGCAUUUUGAUCUCCCAGGUGAAAGGUACCAGGAGGAACAUCUUAUCUAGAGU
Molecule: long non-coding RNA, 3039 nt
Filed under: Sus scrofa (pig)
Lineage: Eukaryota; Metazoa; Chordata; Mammalia; Artiodactyla; Suidae
Description: lncRNA (ENSSSCG00025026885.1)
Source: RNAcentral